RNAcentral lists this unclassified non-coding RNA (404 nucleotides) under soil metagenome. RNAcentral describes it as "partial contains 5.8S ribosomal RNA, internal transcribed spacer 2, and large subunit ribosomal RNA". The stretch from base 1 to 122 matches the Rfam family "5.8S ribosomal RNA", at positions 35 to 154 of the family's 154-position model. The record is from RNAcentral.
GAUGAAGAACGUAGCAAAAUGCGAUACUUGGUGUGAAUUGCAGAAUCCCGUGAACCAUCGAGUUUUUGAACGCAAGUUGCGCCCGAAGCCUUUUGGCCGAGGGCACGUCUGCCUGGGCGUCACGCAUCGCGUCGCCCCCCACAAUUCUCCGUAAAGGGAACAUGUGUUUUGGGGGCGGAUACUGGUCUCCCGUGCUCAUGGCGUGGUUGGCCGAAAUAGGAGUCCUUUCGAUGGACGCACGAACUAGUGGUGGUCGUAAAAACCCUCGUCUUUUGUUUCGUGCUGUUGCUCGCAAGGUAAACUCUUUAAAAACCCCAAUGUGUCGUCUCUUGACGACGCUUCGACCGCGACCCCAGGUCAGGCGGGACUACCCGCUGAGUUUAAGCAUAUCAAUAAGCGGAGGA